UACGAAGGGGGCUAGCGUUGUUCGGAAUCACUGGGCGUAAAGCGCACGUAGGCGGAUCUUUAAGUCAGGGGUGAAAUCCCGAGGCUCAACCUCGGAACUGCCUUUGAUACUGGGGAUCUCGAGUCCGGGAGAGGUGAGUGGAACUGCGAGUGUAGAGGUGAAAUUCGUAGAUAUUCGCAAGAACACCAGUGGCGAAGGCGGCUCACUGGCCCGGAACUGACGCUGAGGUGCGAAAGCGUGGGGAGCAAACAGGG
Molecule: ribosomal RNA, 254 nt
Filed under: uncultured bacterium
Lineage: Bacteria
Description: partial 16S ribosomal RNA
Rfam family: Bacterial small subunit ribosomal RNA
Source: RNAcentral